CCUACGGGAGGCAGCAGUGAGGAAUAUUGGUCAAUGGACGAGAGUCUGAACCAGCCAAGUAGCGUGAAGGAUGACUGCCCUAUGGGUUUUAACCUUCUUUUAUAAGGGAAUAAAACGAGGCACGUGUGCCUUUUUGCAUGUACUUUAUGAAUAAGGAUCGGCUAACUCCGUGCCAGCCGCCGCGGUAAUACGGAGGAUCCGGUCGUUUUCCGGAUUUAUUGGGUUUAAAGGGAGCGUAGAUGGUUUGUUAAGUCAGUUGUGAAAGUUUGCGGCUCAACCGUAAAAUUGCAAUUGAUACUGGCAGUCUUGAGUACAGUUGAGGUAGGCGGAAUUCGUGGUGUAGCAGUGAAAUG
This 353-nucleotide ribosomal RNA is filed under the name uncultured bacterium. Its description in RNAcentral is "partial 16S ribosomal RNA". It matches the Rfam family "Bacterial small subunit ribosomal RNA", at positions 338 to 688 of the family's 1533-position model. The record is from RNAcentral.